RNAcentral lists this ribosomal RNA (490 nucleotides) under uncultured bacterium. RNAcentral's name for it is "partial 16S ribosomal RNA". It matches the Rfam family "Bacterial small subunit ribosomal RNA", at positions 30 to 507 of the family's 1533-position model. The record is from RNAcentral.
AUUGAACGCUGGCGGCAGGCCUAACACAUGCAAGUCGAACGGUAACAGGAAGCAGCUUGCUGCUUUGCUGACGAGUGGCGGACGGGUGAGUAAUGUCUGGGAAACUGCCCGAUGGAGGGGGAUAACUACUGGAAACGGUAGCUAAUACCGCAUAACGUCGCAAGACCAAAGAGGGGGACCUUAGGGCCUCUUGCCAUCGGAUGUGCCCAGAUGGGAUUAGCUAGUAGGUGGGGUAACGGCUCACCUAGGCGACGAUCCCUAGCUGGUCUGAGAGGAUGACCAGCCACACUGGAACUGAGACACGGUCCAGACUCCUACGGGAGGCAGCAGUGGGGAAUAUUGCACAAUGGGCGCAAGCCUGAUGCAGCCAUGCCGCGUGUAUGAAGAAGGCCUUCGGGUUGUAAAGUACUUUCAGCGGGGAGGAAGGGUGUAAAGUUAAUACCUUUGCUCAUUGACGUUACCCGCAGAAGAAGCACCGGCUAACUCCGUG